This 23-nucleotide non-coding RNA is filed under the name Arabidopsis thaliana (thale cress). Lineage: Eukaryota; Viridiplantae; Streptophyta; Magnoliopsida; Brassicales; Brassicaceae. The record is from RNAcentral.
UAGGUCAGAAAAUUUGUCCUAUA